AUACUUAGUACGGCGAGUGAAGCGGUAAAAGCUCAAAUUUGAAAUCUGGUACUUUCAGUGCCCGAGUUGUAAUUUGUAGAAUUUGUCUUUGAUUAGGUCCUUGUCUAUGUUCCUUGGAACAGGACGUCAUAGAGGGUGAGAAUCCCGUUUGGCGAGGAUACCUUUUCUCUGUAAGACUUUUUCGAAGAGUCGAGUUGUUUGGGAAUGCAGCUCAAAGUGGGUGGUAAAUUCCAUCUAAAGCUAAAUAUUGGCGAGAGACCGAUAGCGAACAAGUACAGUGAUGGAAAGAUGAAAAGAACUUUGAAAAGAGAGUGAAAAAGUACGUGAAAUUGUUGAAAGGGAAGGGCAUUUGAUCAGACAUGGUGUUUUUUGCAUGCACUCGCCUCUCGUGGGCUUGGGCCUCUCAAAAAUUUCACUGGGCCAACAUCAAUUCUGGCAGCAGGAUAAAUCAUUAAGAAUGUAGCUACUUCGGUAGUGUUAUAGCUUUUUGGAAUACUGUUAGCCGGGAUUGAGGACUGCGCUUCGGCAAGGAUGUUGGCAUAAUGGUUAAAUGCCGCCCGUCUUGAAACACGGACC
Molecule: ribosomal RNA, 576 nt
Filed under: Hanseniaspora uvarum
Lineage: Eukaryota; Fungi; Ascomycota; Saccharomycetes; Saccharomycodales; Saccharomycodaceae
Description: partial large subunit ribosomal RNA
Rfam family: Eukaryotic large subunit ribosomal RNA
Source: RNAcentral